GGGAACCACAGCGCCGCGCAUCUUGUCGGAGGCGCGGCGCUUUCGGCAGG
This 50-nucleotide small RNA is filed under the name Sinorhizobium meliloti 2011. RNAcentral describes it as "putative ncRNA". The record is from RNAcentral. Lineage: Bacteria; Pseudomonadati; Pseudomonadota; Alphaproteobacteria; Hyphomicrobiales; Rhizobiaceae.